Small RNA from Lachnoclostridium sp. An14, 175 nucleotides. It matches the Rfam family "Clostridiales-1 RNA". The record is from Rfam. Lineage: Bacteria; Bacillati; Bacillota; Clostridia; Lachnospirales; Lachnospiraceae.
GGAUACAAAGGUUCCAAAGUCGAAUAUUCGUUGCAAGCUUGCUUGCGAACGGGUGGUUGACCUUGGAACCUGCCGGAACCAUGAAUAAGGAGCCGUUUUUCGCAGAAAAACGAGCGGAUUAUGAAUGGUUCCGGCGGGAUUGCGGGAGUGCGGAGCACGGAGCAAUCCCGUAUCC